GGGUUGUGAGGUUAAGCGACUAAGCGUACACGGUGGAUGCCCUGGCAGUCAGAGGCGAUGAAGGGCGUGCUAAUCUGCGAUAAGCGCCGGUAAGGUGAUAUGAACCGUUAUAACCGGCGAUACCCGAAUGGGGAAACCCAGUGUGACUCGUCACACUAUCAUUAACUGAAUCCAUAGGUUAAUGAGGCGAACCGGGGGAACUGAAACAUCUAAGUACCCCGAGGAAAAGAAAUCAACCGAGAUUCCCCCAGUAGCGGCGAGCGAACGGGGAGGAGCCCAGAGCCUGAAUCAGCAUAUGUGUUAGUGGAAGCGUCUGGAAAGGCGCGCGAUACAGGGUGACAGCCCCGUACACAAAAGCGCAUGUGCUGUGAGCUCGAUGAGUAGGGCGGGACACGUGGUAUCCUGUCUGAAUAUGGGGGGACCAUCCUCCAAGGCUAAAUACUCCUGACUGACCGAUAGUGAACCAGUACCGUGAGGGAAAGGCGAAAAGAACCCCGGCGAGGGGAGUGAAAAAGAACCUGAAACCGUGUACGUACAAGCAGUGGGAGCCCCACCACUAAGCCAGUGGUGAACUCCACAUACGCAUCCUUUGCUGAGGAUACGGUUAACGGAGCGAAAGCGACGUUCAACCUCAAAAGAAGCAGAGGGGGCUUAGUGGUGGGGUGACUGCGUACCUUUUGUAUAAUGGGUCAGCGACUUAUAUUCUGUAGCAAGGUUAACCGAAUAGGGGAGCCGGAGGGAAACCGAGUCUUAACCGGGCGUUAAGUUGCAGGGUAUAGACCCGAAACCCGGUGAUCUAGCCAUGGGCAGGUUGAAGGUUGGGUAACACUAACUGGAGGACCGAACCGACUAAUGUUGAAAAAUUAGCGGAUGACCUGUGGCUGGGGGUGAAAGGCCAAUCAAACCGGGAGAUAGCUGGUUCUCCCCGAAAGCUAUUUAGGUAGCGCCUCGUGAAUUCAUCUCCGGGGGUAGAGCACUGUUUCGGCUAGGGGGCCAUCCCGGCUUACCAACCCGAUGCAAACUGCGAAUACCGGAGAAUGUUAUCACGGGAGACACACGGCGGGUGCUAACGUCCGUCGUGAAGAGGGAAACAACCCAGACCGCCAGCUAAGGUCCCAAAGUCAUGGUUAAGUGGGAAACGAUGUGGGAAGGCCCAGACAGCCAGGAUGUUGGCUUAGAAGCAGCCAUCAUUUAAAGAAAGCGUAAUAGCUCACUGGUCGAGUCGGCCUGCGCGGAAGAUGUAACGGGGCUAAACCAUGCACCGAAGCUGCGGCAGCGACACUCAGGUGUUGUUGGGUAGGGGAGCGUUCUGUAAGCCUGUGAAGGUGGCCUGUGAGGGUUGCUGGAGGUAUCAGAAGUGCGAAUGCUGACAUAAGUAACGAUAAAGCGGGUGAAAAGCCCGCUCGCCGGAAGACCAAGGGUUCCUGUCCAACGUUAAUCGGGGCAGGGUGAGUCGACCCCUAAGGCGAGGCCGAAAGGCGUAGUCGAUGGGAAACGGGUUAAUAUUCCCGUACUUGGUGUUACUGCGAAGGGGGGACGGAGAAGGCUAUGUUGGCCGGGCGACGGUUGUCCCGGUUUAAGCGUGUAGGUGUGUGUUCCAGGUAAAUCCGGUUCACUUUAACACUGAGGCGUGAUGACGAGGCACUACGGUGCUGAAGCAACAAAUGCCCUGCUUCCAGGAAAAGCCUCUAAGCAUCAGGUAACAUCAAAUCGUACCCCAAACCGACACAGGUGGUCAGGUAGAGAAUACCAAGGCGCUUGAGAGAACUCGGGUGAAGGAACUAGGCAAAAUGGUGCCGUAACUUCGGGAGAAGGCACGCUGACACGUAGGUGAAGUGAUUUACUCAUGGAGCUGAAGUCAGUCGAAGAUACCAGCUGGCUGCAACUGUUUAUUAAAAACACAGCACUGUGCAAACACGAAAGUGGACGUAUACGGUGUGACGCCUGCCCGGUGCCGGAAGGUUAAUUGAUGGGGUCAGCGCAAGCGAAGCUCCUGAUCGAAGCCCCGGUAAACGGCGGCCGUAACUAUAACGGUCCUAAGGUAGCGAAAUUCCUUGUCGGGUAAGUUCCGACCUGCACGAAUGGCGUAAUGAUGGCGAGGCUGUCUCCACCCGAGACUCAGUGAAAUUGAACUCGCUGUGAAGAUGCAGUGUACCCGCGGCAAGACGGAAAGACCCCGUGAACCUUUACUAUAGCUUGACACUGAACAUUGAGCCUUGAUGUGUAGGAUAGGUGGGAGGCUUUGAAGUGUGGACGCCAGUCUGCAUGGAGCCGACCUUGAAAUACCACCCUUUAAUGUUUGAUGUUCUAACGUGGACCCGUGAUCCGGGUUGCGGACAGUGUCUGGUGGGUAGUUUGACUGGGGCGGUCUCCUCUAAAGAGUAACGGAGGAGCACGAAGGUUGGCUAAUCUGGUCGGACAUCAGGAGGUUAGUGCAAUGGCAUAAGCCAGCUUGACUGCGAGCGUGACGGCGCGAGCAGGUGCGAAGGUCAUAGUGAUCCGGUGGUUCUGAAUGGAAGGGCCAUCGCUCAACGGAUAAAAGGUACCCGGGGAUAACAGGCUGAUACCGCCCAAGAGUUCAUAUCGACGGCGGUGUUUGGCACCUCGAUGUCGGCUCAUCACAUCCUGGGGCUGAAGUAGGUCCCAAGGGUAUGGCUGUUCGCCAUUUAAAGUGGUACGCGAGCUGGGUUUAGAACGUCGUGAGACAGUUCGGUCCCUAUCUGCCGUGGGCGCUGGAGAACUGAGGGGGGCUGCUCCUAGUACGAGAGGACCGGAGUGGACGCAUCACUGGUGUUCGGGUUGUCAUGCCAAUGGCACUGCCCGGUAGCUAAAUGCGGAAGAGAUAAGUGCUGAAAGCAUCUAAGCACGAAACUUGCCCCGAGAUGAGUUCUCCCUGAGACUUUAGGUCUCCUGAAGGAACGUUGAAGACGACGACGUUGAUAGGCCGGGUGUGUAAGCGCAGCGAUGCGUUGAGCUAACCGGUACUAAUGAACCGUGAGGCUUAACCUUACAACGCCGAAG
This 3021-nucleotide ribosomal RNA is filed under the name Salmonella enterica. Its description in RNAcentral is "bacterial LSU rRNA". It matches the Rfam family "Bacterial large subunit ribosomal RNA". Lineage: Bacteria; Pseudomonadati; Pseudomonadota; Gammaproteobacteria; Enterobacterales; Enterobacteriaceae. The record is from RNAcentral.